CCGCCACGUCGGGGGGCGCCAUCCGCCGCUAGGCGCGGCGCCGGGCGGGGCGUUCCAAUCGCCCCAUGGAAGAC
Molecule: transfer RNA, 74 nt
Filed under: Pirellulimonas nuda
Lineage: Bacteria; Pseudomonadati; Planctomycetota; Planctomycetia; Pirellulales; Lacipirellulaceae
Description: Planctomycetes bacterium Pla175 tRNA-Pro
Source: RNAcentral